CGUAGGUGGCGAGCGUUAUCCGGAUUUACUGGGUGUAAAGGGGGUGUAGGCGGGUUUGCAAGUCGGGUGUGAAAGAUCCAGGCUUAACUUGGAGAGGUCAUCCGAAACUGCAGAUCUUGAGUGCUGGAGAGGAUAGUGGAAUUCCUGGUGUAGCGGUAAAAUGCGUAGAUAUCAGGAGGAACACCAGUGGCGAAGGCGGCUAUCUGGACAGUAACUGACGCUGAGGCGCGAAAGCGUGGGGAGCAAACAGGAUUAGAUACCCU
RNAcentral lists this ribosomal RNA (263 nucleotides) under uncultured prokaryote. RNAcentral describes it as "partial 16S ribosomal RNA". It matches the Rfam family "Bacterial small subunit ribosomal RNA", at positions 526 to 788 of the family's 1533-position model. The record is from RNAcentral.